This 402-nucleotide ribosomal RNA is filed under the name uncultured Microvirga sp. RNAcentral describes it as "bacterial SSU rRNA". It matches the Rfam family "Bacterial small subunit ribosomal RNA", at positions 353 to 772 of the family's 1533-position model. The record is from RNAcentral. Lineage: Bacteria; Pseudomonadati; Pseudomonadota; Alphaproteobacteria; Hyphomicrobiales; Methylobacteriaceae.
AGUGGGGAAUAUUGGACAAUGGGCGCAAGCCUGAUCCAGCCAUGCCGCGUGAGUGAUGAAGGCCUUAGGGUUGUAAAGCUCUUUCGCACGCGACGAUAAUGACGGUAGCGUGAGAAGAAGCCCCGGCUAACUUCGUGCCAGCAGCCGCGGUAAUACGAAGGGGGCUAGCGUUGUUCGGAAUCACUGGGCGUAAAGGGCGCGUAGGCGGCUUUGUAAGUCGGGGGUGAAAGCCUGUGGCUCAACCACAGAAUUGCCUUCGAUACUGCAUGGCUUGAGACCGGAAGAGGUAAGUGGAACUGCGAGUGUAGAGGUGAAAUUCGUAGAUAUUCGCAAGAACACCAGUGGCGAAGGCGGCUUACUGGUCCGGUUCUGACGCUGAGGCGCGAAAGCGUGGGGAGCAAA